GUUCUCCUUUUCUGGGGUCAUUAAAUUGACUCCUAGCCGUCUCAAUGUUGAUUUUAAUUAAAGAUAAUUAUACUGCCUCACUCAACCUGCCAGAGAUAAAAUGAGGUAUUUUAUAAAUGCUUUGAAAAGUUGAAAACUUUCACCAUUUCCCUUCUCCCCUGCUAAUGAGAGAUGGGGCUGGGAUGACUCCCUGGUCACCCACGCUGAGACAGGUGAGAUUCUCCUCUGCUAAGGAUAACAGUCUUACUCCUCAAUGAACUAUAACAACCGCUCUAAAUGCAUCUCCUGUAACAUACCUCUGUGAUUUGCAAAAGUGGGAAUAAAUCAAAGCCGGGAAGAGAUGCCACGUUAAGCCAGAAGCUAAAUGUUACAUCAUGUCGCGCGAGGCCAGGGGAAGAGAGAGGCUGCUUUUCCCUGGCAGCACAAUCUGUUUAUGCUCCUUACCUCCGCCACAGCCCCAUUAAAACAAUCAUUCUGAAUCUGCGGGAAAUUGUCACCUCUUUCUUUUCUGCCAUGGCAGCUGGUAUUGGAGGCUGCAGACAUUGCUCAUUCCCUUCAAGGUUCUUAACACACACGCAAAAAAAGAAAAUGAAGCUUAAUUUGUU
This 605-nucleotide long non-coding RNA is filed under the name Equus caballus (horse). RNAcentral's name for it is "lncRNA (ENSECAG00000056966.1)". Lineage: Eukaryota; Metazoa; Chordata; Mammalia; Perissodactyla; Equidae. The record is from RNAcentral.